CAGGGGGCGCUGCGGGGCCACUCGCACGGGCCUGGCCUGGCAGAGAGGCGCCGCUCUAGGCUGUAGCCGACGCGAGGCCGCAGUUCCGCAGAGACUGCGGAGCGAGAACUCAGUCCUCCUGCUCCGUCCCGGUCUACAGCCUGUACUCAUGCUGUGCUCUGUGUACCCUGCUGCCUUCCGUCCCGGCAUCCGGCUAAGUCACUCAGGGCGUGCUCUGCGCAAGGCUCCCAAGUACGGCGCAGGGAAACUGAAGCAUCUACUCGCCGGGGCCUCAGCCUCCCGCGGCUCGCGUGUUCCAGGCCUUGGUCGCUCCGGGCUGACCGUCCCUGAGCGGUGUCAGAGGCGCCUUUGCCUCCCGAGGUCACCCUGUCUGGUCGGAGACCACACGCCCCGUGGUCUCUCACGCCCGCUUCCCGGCCUCGGAGCUGUGGCAUUCUAAGCCCGGAAUUUACUUGUCGCUUGUCGACACGGGGUCUGUGUUGUGUUGUGUCCUAGAUCAGUUGACUGAUUUUCACCAAAAGCCUUCCAAAGCCAGGUCUAAAACUUCCUUUUUGCACAAUCUGGCCGAGGUUUCGGUUGAAGACUCUCCCGAGGCCGUAGGGUACAGCGUCCAAACUGCCCUCUCUUGCACUGAAGCCCCUUCCUCUUCUUUCCCCUGCUUAGACCUUGCUGUUGAGCCCAAUGGAAACUACCCUGUGGCGGCGCUGCCGGUUCUGCAACAGCCAGCGCCCCCGCUCUCCCCGCCCCACGGACCGGAUGUCCCGAGGUGACAACUUGGUGUAAAUGGGUCAUGAGAGGUGUCCAUCUUGCCAGGAAGCAGCUGGACCAUGGUGCUCCCGAGUGAGGUGUCCCGGGAGUUGUCCUGUCAGGAACACCUUAGACCCCAGUGUCAUUGAGGGCCUAUGGCGAGGCAGAAAUGUCAUUGGCAGAAGGCCUGGUGGAGGAAAGCUGCUUACUUCAUCACAGCCAAGAAGCAGAGAAAGAAAGAAAAAGCCAUGGGGAGGACUUUGAGGUUGAGGUGAGCAAGAGCUCCCAAGUCCUGCUGGGUAGACUGAUGGGCAGGCCAGUAAUGACAGCAAGAAGGAUGGCAGCUAGGGUGGUCCUUUGGGACCUCGAUGGGAGGAGCUCUAAGGGUGAGCUCUUAUGGGAGGAAGGAGUAGGGCACAAAGUAUACCCCUCCGAGCCACACCCACAGUGACCUGUUUCAUCCAGUUAGGCCCCACCUCCUAACAAACCCAUUCAACUCAUUAAUUCAUUAGUGGAUUGAUCCACUUGAUGAUGAUCCAGACCCUUUUAAAAGCCCAUCAGCUGGCAGCCAAGGCUUCAACACAGUGAACCAUCACAUUAGCCUUUAGUGGCUCCUGUAAAAGUAAAACCUCCAGAGUAUCACUUGGGCAAUAAGAGUCUCCCAGUUGUCUGCCCUCCCUGCCUGGCUGUCUGCAGCAGCAUGCUGUAAUGCAGAAUGGGUGGAUCUGGGCAUGAGAAUCUCCUUCUGCCAGUAUCUCAAUCAAAGAUCAGCUCAACCCAAUUUUCUUGAUUUGAAAAAUAAAGUGAUAAAUAUUUUUCCAGGAUUUCUACCCAAGUUGACUUUUUUUUGAUUCCCUGUGGCAGAGAGGUUCUUUGGGGAUUUUGCCACUAUCAGAGUCCUGUGCUUCACUGGGCUGUUUUCCUGUACUCGACCCAUUCCACAGGCCACUGGCACCCCCGUCUCUUCCAGGGCCGGCCACUCUCUGGUGUGUGCACCUGCAUUCGAAAGUGAUCAUGGGCUGCCUGUGCCCUGGUCAUCAACAAAGCAGGGAGAGGAACCGCUGAAAGCCGUUUCCCGUGUUUGCAGGGUCCAGCCUGUCCCUUGCAAAUGCUGGCGCUUUCGCACACUUCUUUCCUGCCAACACAUUCCAGUUUCAAGAGCCUUAAGGGCUGCUGUGUAAGGGUCAGUGAUGGGAGACAUUUUGUCUUGCUUGGCCUCUCUAUCUAGUGAAUAAGUGAGAUGUUGGGUGAUACACAGUCAUUACCACAGGAUUUUCAAAGAGAAGUGGCCUUUUGGAAGUGGUGGGUCUGGGCAGGCCUUGGAAGGGGUGUGAUAUGAGAGAUAUUCUGAGGGGCGGGAAUCAUGUGGAGGACUUUGAGGUUGAGGGAUGCUGCGCUGGAACUGGAGAUUGCUGAAGGAAGGCCCUGGAAUAGAGGCACUGACCCUGUCAGGAUGAUGAAUGGGGUUCCUGCUCUGAAGGGAUCUCCUCAUGUUGGUUGUGGUGUUGAUUGUGGACACUGGCAUAGCAGAGUGAAGAGUGUCAUUGUCACACGACGCAUUCCAGACCUUAGUGCAGUGGCCUCAGCACAACACAGAGCACCUUUUUACUCUGCAUGAGCAAGCGGAGGGGAAGGCCUGGACUCUGAGGACUUGGGGUCCAGAGGUGGAGACCUUCCAGCUGGUUCUACCCCAUCCCAGCAGAGCCACAGAGCAUCAUAGACGGGAAGACCAGUCUUCCUUCAACUGGCCACCUCCAGUCUUGCCUACUCCUGGUGUAACUUGUAGACCCAAGAGAUCCUGGUGAAGUUUUCUAUACCCUGCACAACCUCAAUAAAUUGUCCACCUCAAUAAAUUUUGAAACAUGCUGUGCUGUGUAUUUUUUGGGUUUUGUUUGUUUACCAAAAUACCCAUGUGUACCAGCUAGGCUGGGUAUAGAGAAGGUAGUCACAGGGUGAAUCUUCCAGUUUUCACUUACUGAGAAUUCCCACUUAGCAUGCUCCUAAGUGGGAUGUGACCUAGGGAAUUUGAGGUAGGAGGUAGGAUUUGGACUAGAGGUUGAACAAUGCCACAUGCAUCUGGGGGCUCAGGCUUAGGAGAGAAGAGAACUGUUAAAACUAAGUUGCCUGAGCAACAUUUGGGCCAGGGAUUUGGAAGAGAAGAUGAUAAUGGGUGGAUGAAGAGAUGGAGAUGGUCUGAAGUCCUCAAGAAAGACAGGAGUGUUCUGAGCUUGAUGGCAAAAGUAUACCAUGCUCUGGAGUGAAUUUAGGAAAACGGUUUUGAGCAAAGGUAGGAG
RNAcentral lists this long non-coding RNA (3041 nucleotides) under Heterocephalus glaber (naked mole-rat). RNAcentral's name for it is "lncRNA (ENSHGLG00100050468.1)". The stretch from base 1742 to 1874 matches the Rfam family "Small nucleolar RNA SNORA71". Lineage: Eukaryota; Metazoa; Chordata; Mammalia; Rodentia; Bathyergidae. The record is from RNAcentral.